RNAcentral lists this transfer RNA (77 nucleotides) under Gammaproteobacteria bacterium. RNAcentral's name for it is "tRNA-Pro". It matches the Rfam family "tRNA". From Rfam's summary of the family: Transfer RNA (tRNA) molecules are approximately 80 nucleotides in length. Their secondary structure includes four short double-helical elements and three loops (D, anti-codon, and T loops). The record is from RNAcentral. Lineage: Bacteria; Pseudomonadati; Pseudomonadota; Gammaproteobacteria.
CGGGGUAUGGCGCAGUCUGGUAGCGCACCUGCUUUGGGAGCAGGGUGUCGGGGGUUCGAAUCCCUCUACCCCGAUCA